RNAcentral lists this ribosomal RNA (316 nucleotides) under Lamproderma sauteri. RNAcentral describes it as "bacterial SSU rRNA". The record is from RNAcentral. Lineage: Eukaryota; Evosea; Eumycetozoa; Stemonitida; Stemonitidae.
UCUGAAUCUGCGAACGGCUCCGCAAACCAGUUGUAAACUAUAGCAAGCAAGCUCAGGGCUGGCCUUCACUGGCCGGCUCGGGGCGAUAUGGAUAACCCUGGUAAUUUUGAGGCUAAUACAAGAGUGUAAACCUUGGAGGACCGGCUUCGGCUGGGAAUCUGGGGGAUGUGCGAUUGCAGGCUUGGUAACACCGGGAAAGGGCGCACGUUCAGAUCACGCUAAAAAGGUCGGGCUCCUUCGGGGGCCUGCCCCAGUGACUCUUGCUGUGUGCUUCUGACCUAUCAACUAGACGGCAGCGUAAGGGACAUGAUAUUGU